AUUGAACGCUGGCGGCAGGCCUAACACAUGCAAGUCGAGCGGAUGAAGGGAGCUUGCUCCUGGAUUCAGCGGCGGACGGGUGAGUAAUGCCUAGGAAUCUGCCUGGUAGUGGGGGAUAACGUCCGGAAACGGGCGCUAAUACCGCAUACGUCCUGAGGGAGAAAGUGGGGGAUCUUCGGACCUCACGCUAUCAGAUGAGCCUAGGUCGGAUUAGCUAGUUGGUGGGGUAAAGGCCUACCAAGGCGACGAUCCGUAACUGGUCUGAGAGGAUGAUCAGUCACACUGGAACUGAGACACGGUCAAGACUCCUACGGGAGGCAGCAGUGGGGAAUAUUAGACAAUGGGCGAAAGCCUGAUCCAGCCAUGCCGCGUGUGUGAAGAAGGUCUUCGGAUUGUAAAGCACUUUAAGUUGGGAGGAAGGGCAGUAAGUUAAUACCUUGCUGUUUUGACGUUACCAACAGAAUAAGCACCGGCUAACUUCGUG
RNAcentral lists this ribosomal RNA (484 nucleotides) under uncultured bacterium. RNAcentral describes it as "partial 16S ribosomal RNA". It matches the Rfam family "Bacterial small subunit ribosomal RNA", at positions 30 to 507 of the family's 1533-position model. The record is from RNAcentral.